RNAcentral lists this long non-coding RNA (2689 nucleotides) under Mytilus galloprovincialis (Mediterranean mussel). The record is from RNAcentral. Lineage: Eukaryota; Metazoa; Mollusca; Bivalvia; Mytilida; Mytilidae.
UUUAAUUUGAUUUCUGUCUAUUCUCCCCUUUUGGCAGAGUUUUCUUUUAUGAAAAAAAGGUUUAAUUUGAUUUCUGUCUAUUCUCCCCUUUUGGCAGAGUUUUCUUAUAUGAAAAAAAGGUUUAAUAAAAAAAUGGAUGAGGAUCUAAGAAUUUGUUUAUAAUGGCCUAUUAAAUUUUGUUUCUAUAUUUUAUAUUUAUCACAUUUAAAAAAAAACUAACACCAUUGAUUGUUGAAGCAAUAGAUUUUGUUCUACAUAAGAGUGCUAUUUAAGAUAUUCACCUACAAAUACAUAUAACAUGUUCAGCCAUAUUUUCUAUAAAACAUAAUGUUUGUUUAUUGAUCGCAUUUAAAAUGUUAAAUACUUAUUAUCAUUUGUUAAUAUGUACAAUUAUUGUUUUAUAAAUGCCAAAUAGUGCAUUUACAUAUAAUCAAUUUCUUGUAGUUUGUAAUUAUGGAUAUACUCUUCAAAAACCUUAAUGCUCUUCAGGAUAGUUACAUGAAAACUUGCAGGGGACACUGAGAAGUCACAUUUAUAUAUCAAUUUCUUUUGGGACAGGGAAAAAGAAGGGGAAAUUUUAAAAACUCUAUACAAAAUAACCCAGUUCCAUCCCUUCGUUUUAUGUUUGUUUGUAAUGGAACAGCCUUUGUACUAAAAGCUGCAUUUACAGCCAAAAAAUUCAGAAACUCACCAUUUAAAAGAUUUUUUAGUCUACCCCAAUUAAACAGAAUAGUGGCUGAAAUUUUGAAAUCUUCAUGUCAGAUGAAUUUGAUGUAUCGAUUUAAGGAAAAGACAAAGUAAGAAGGUUUUCUUUUGGGGUUUAAAAAACAUUUAGUUCUUUUCAUUUGUUGAAUCAGACAUACUUAAAUGAUUGAAAAAAUUGAAAUAAAAAACUGAUUGGCAAAAUGUUUAUGUCAUUUCUUAAUUUUGACCAAAUAAGGGCUGAGAACAACCUAUUGCACUGAUUAUCUGAAAGUAUCAAAAGUUUCACAAAAGUACUUAUUGACAAAAUAUUAUAUGUCUAAUCAAGAUAAUAAUUUAUAUAUGUGGUUAUACCUAUAUUGUUGUGAGAUUAUAAAUUAGAGGAAAAAUUAAAUAUUUACUUCCAUUGUAUUAUAUUUUUGAGACAAAAGUUUAUUGUUUAUAUAUAUAUAUAUUUAUCAUUCACAUUCCAGAUAUAUUUUCAUAUGUUCACAGUAAUAUUCCAUAUAUUAAUAUUUUAUUUGUAUUGUACAUAGUGUCUUACUGAAAAUACUCAUGUGUUAUAUAUACUACGGAUAUGUUGCAUGUUUAUUUUUUAAAAAGAUAAAAGUCAACUGGAAUAAAUUUCAAAUACUUUUUUACAAAUUUAUUCAAACAUUUUGAACAAAAUUUAAGUUUGAUAUCAUGAUUUAUUACAAAUGCAUUGCAAUGUAAUAAUUGGAUGUAAAGACUUCCACAUUUAUCUGUUUUGUUUUUUUAAAAAGAAAUAUGCAAUUUGAUUAUUAGAUGGGGAAACUGUACCUAUAUUCUGUGUUGGUAGAAAUCUGAUCAGACAAUUUCUGCAAUAGAACAUGGUGCUCAUAAAUUAUUGCAUUGUGCUUCCAACCAUAUUCUUCAUCAAUAACCAUUUUUAAACCAGGAAUAUUCUUUUCUCAGUAAAAUAUAGUUAGAAUUCAUUGAAUAUUUCAUAUUGCUUAGUUCAUGUUUGCUAAAUACGGAAUGAAUUGAUUAUUAUCACAGAUUUUACUGUAGAUUAUUUGUCAUCGUGUCUUAUUAUUUUUAUAAUGAUUGAUUUAAAGACUAUUUUAAAAGUGUAGGCAAAGUUCAGUUUUACUGUGUCCCCUAAACAAUAUAUGAUUAUUCAGUAAGUUAAGGGAGUUCGCUUCUCAGUUUCAAAGUAAUUAACUUUUCAAAGCACUAGUUUAUAUUGAUAGGGAAUUAAUUAAGAAAUCCAAAAUGCAGAAAAUAUAUAAAGAUCACCGUGCUUGUUUUCGAGAUAUAAGUAUUUGAAAUUUUGGCGGGAAAAUAUUCUCUCUUGACUUUUUAUAGCUUUAUCAUUGACAAGCUGAAGUUCUCAAAAACUGUUAAAAAGUAAUUAAAAUUUUAUAAGACUUUUACAGAUGGCUUAUCAUUAUACAUGUAAAAGAUUUUCAUAAAGAAAAAUGGGGGUCACUUGGCAAAUUUUUCAAGGCAUUCAAAUGGAUAAAACCAGAGGAUUCCGAAAAUCUGACAAAAAAUCCAAAACAUGACAAGCCAGCUUCCUUAACUGUUUGAAAAGGUAAUAGUCAAACCACCUGACAGUAAUUUAAUAUUGAGAUUUAUAUAUCUCUUUCUUAAUAUUUAAUUAUUUUUUAACAAUCAGAACAGGUCUGACUACUUAAAAGUAAUUGGUUAAAACAACAAUUUUUGCUUUAACUUAAAGGCAUGCAAUAAAGUUGUAACUUAUUGAGGACUUUCACAGUAUGAAAAUUGCACCUUAUUUGAUGUACUAAGCGCAAUGAAAAGAUAUACCUUGAAACCUGCAAUGUAUCCUAUAUUGAUGCAAUUUUAAAAGUUGUUGAUUAUUGUAUAUAAUGUAAUAUGUGUACAUAUUAAUUAUAUACAUUGUGAUAUAAAGUUAACAUAAUUAUACAUUAUUGUCUAGUGUUUUUAUAGCCUUGUUUGAAAGAAAAAACAAAGCCAUUAAACCAUGGUUUAAAAUCAUGGC